Anthonomus grandis grandis is the source of this 351-nucleotide long non-coding RNA. RefSeq lists it as uncharacterized. NCBI's taxonomy places the organism in Eukaryota, Metazoa, Arthropoda, Insecta, Coleoptera, Curculionidae. The record is from RefSeq and is a predicted model, not a curated record. The transcript has 2 exons.
GUCAGGUGGUAAUGUAAUUACGUCAAUCAUCAGCGAUAACGAUAAUUUGUUUAUAAUAUAGAUAAAAACUGAUUUUUACGUUCUUGAGCAUUAAAUUGAUCAAUUUCAGGAUCACUCGCGAUCGUUUUGAAUCACAACAAAACCACCAAAAAAAAGGAAAAUUCUGAUAAGAUAAGCAAAAAAUUGCGCGUCAACCAGUACGAUGAGAUGUCGAGCAAACAAAAUUACGACGAGAGAUUAUAAUGAAAAGUGUGGCAGAAACUCGAGAACACGAUGAAAUAUGAGCGAUUAUCGAUCGAAACUCGACGAUAUACAAUUUACUUAUUGCUUAUUAAAAUAUUCAUAAAACUA